UGACUCUGGUUUCUCUUCAUUACGCACAAGCCUUCGCCUUUUACUAAAGACUUCCGUGGAGGAGGAACACUUACGAGCUCAACGUAUUUUUGGAGUGGCUUGCUUCUUGCAGAGCCC
Molecule: small nuclear RNA, 117 nt
Filed under: Oncorhynchus kisutch (coho salmon)
Lineage: Eukaryota; Metazoa; Chordata; Actinopteri; Salmoniformes; Salmonidae
Description: U5 spliceosomal RNA (ENSOKIG00005034870.1)
Rfam family: U5 spliceosomal RNA
About the family: U5 RNA is a component of both types of known spliceosome. The precise function of this molecule is unknown, though it is known that the 5' loop is required for splice site selection and p220 binding, and that both the 3' stem-loop and the Sm site are important for Sm protein binding and cap methylation.
Source: Rfam by way of RNAcentral